Molecule: ribosomal RNA, 132 nt
Filed under: Castor canadensis (American beaver)
Lineage: Eukaryota; Metazoa; Chordata; Mammalia; Rodentia; Castoridae
Source: RNAcentral
UUCUACAGCCCUACCACCCUGCAUGACCCUGUCUCAUCUGGUCUUAUAAGCUAAGCAGGGUUGGGCCUGGUUAGCACUUGGAUGGAAGACAGAUCUUCAGAAGAGACUGCUCGGAGACAGGCAGUUUGGAGA